RNAcentral lists this unclassified non-coding RNA (256 nucleotides) under Hevea brasiliensis (rubber tree). The record is from RNAcentral. Lineage: Eukaryota; Viridiplantae; Streptophyta; Magnoliopsida; Malpighiales; Euphorbiaceae.
UCGAUCGACGCGAAACACACAGGAGUUUUUUCCGUGAAAACAGCCAUCACCGAAAUGUUCGGCAUCGAGCAUCCGAUCAUUCAGGGCGGCAUGCAUUACGUGGGGUUCGCGGAGCUUGCCGCAGCUGUAUCGAAUGCGGGAGGUCUUGGCGUCAUCACUGGGUUGACGCAGAAGACGCCGGAACUGCUGGCNNNNUCGCGCGCUGCCGCGGCAUGUCCGAUAAGCCGUUCGGCGUGAAUCUCACCUUUCUUCCGAC